RNAcentral lists this long non-coding RNA (219 nucleotides) under Brassica napus (rape). Its description in RNAcentral is "long non-coding RNA (BNAP_LNC009095)". The record is from RNAcentral. Lineage: Eukaryota; Viridiplantae; Streptophyta; Magnoliopsida; Brassicales; Brassicaceae.
AAAAAGGCGAUUAUAUUCGUUUACAUAACAAUAGAUUUAAUUAUUCUUAAUUAAAAAGAUAGAACUCGAUCGAUUGUCUUCAUACGCAACAGAAUAGAAAAUACGUAUAGGGUUAAAGGGACAUUAAAGCAUGUGUAGCAGCUACGUAAUAUCCAUUAUUUUGUUGCAGCCUUCUUUUUAAUUGAGAAAGCUAUGUUUUUCUUGUUUAGUUCAAUUAAU